GUGAUCUGAGAAACUGUAAGCAAUUGUGUUGCUUUUCAUCUUCAGGCCUGCAUUUCUUGUAAAGCUAGGUGAUAUGAAUAUUGGCCUUCUCACAACUAAACAUAUAAACUGAUACACAUAGCUUUAACAUGCUGUUUUCUUUUGUAACAGGACAAAAUUGGAGACACUGGUUAUUUUCCCCAAGGCUUUGAAUGAAUGACAUGCUUUCGGAUACAAACAGACUCCUUUAAGAAAUCAAUGUUAACUUAGAGAGCCAAUAAAAUCCCCUUGGGAAAAGUGGACCCACAUCUUGUCUACACAAUCCCUGUGCAGGCUUUCUCACCUGUGGUAAGUAAAGAAUGUCACGUUCUGACAGGCCCAGGGGCCCCAAGUUGUCUUGGGACCUCAAGAGGGAGGAAUUCAUCCAACUCAUACAGUUAUUUGGUGGCACAAUCCCAUGCCUGGGCUCAAGACUUUUAAAAGUUUUAUCCAAGAUUCCUUAUGGAACAAAGUUCCAUCAAAGCCAAUUUAAAAAGGAACCUAUGUAACAAAUAAUUAUUCUUGCUGUGCUUUAUGCAAAUAACAGGCCAAGUAUAACAUGACUGAAGUUUAUUUUGGAAACAAAUCAGUCCUGUGAUAAUUUGUUUUUAAUAAGAAUGAGGACUGCAAAGAGAAAAAUUAUGUCUUGAGAAUUGUGGUACACCUGUAAUUUGAUUCUAGUCUCAUCAGUUGUUUUUGAGUUUUUUUCCUCUGCAAGUUAGACUGACUCUGCUUAUUCCUGUGAACCAACCAGUGAUCCAUGGCUGAGGCUCAGAAGAAACAAGAGGGAUGGGCCAUCAAUCACCAGAUGAUCCUCAGUGAGGGAUAAUAUCCUCUCAAUAUUUGAGUCACACUUCUACAGAGGACCCCUCAACUGCCCAUCUGUGGGACACGACAGAGGCAAAAUCCUGCCCCUGUCUCUCUCGGACCUGGCUGGAUACUGCUUUCACUAACCCACGAAGCAACCAUGCCCUAACAGCUAGCAAGAGAAUAAGACCCACAGAACAACCACCACCACCUCUCUGUCAGCAGGAAGCAGUUACAAAAGACUGACCUUUCCCAACAAAUUGGGUCUUGAACUCUUGAGGGGGGAAAUGUUAGAGUAGGUAGUUAGGCAGACAUGAGCAGGGCAGGAGAGGUCCCUGCCCAACCCAGGAAUGUCAGGUGACUAUCAGGUUAUGGUCAGGUGGUUGUUAUCUGUCUUGCUAAAAUAAUAAUUGGCUGCAGCUGGUGCCAGGGAACAGUAUCUCCCAAUAGAUGAAAAACAACUGAAGUUGAUGACCAGCAGCUUCCCAAUAAGAUCUCAGGAGUUGGGUGAGUGGGCUCAAGCAUGCACACUAAGAGCUGAAUGGCAGUGUUAACAGGUAAAUGACCUUCUUCUAGGAACGCCUGACUGGUAUGAGAAAAAUGCCUCAACUAAGCCUGUGUACAACUUCAGCAAACACACUGUGCUUGCAGCCCCUCCCAAGUGCUGGCAGGCCACUGAGCAUGCAGACAGCCUACCCCAAAAGAAGUAACGGGGAGAAGUAACACAACCCCAGAAGCAUCUCAAUACAUAAAACUUCAAGUUAAAGAUCAAACAGCACACUUGAAUCUCUCAAGUCACCUGCUUGGCUCUCUUCUAAGUGUACCUUACUUUCUUUUGUUCCUGCUCUAAAACUUUUUAAUAAACUUUCCUGCUCUAAAACUUGC
RNAcentral lists this long non-coding RNA (1710 nucleotides) under Homo sapiens (human). RNAcentral's name for it is "HSALNT0344183". The record is from RNAcentral. Lineage: Eukaryota; Metazoa; Chordata; Mammalia; Primates; Hominidae.